This 460-nucleotide ribosomal RNA is filed under the name uncultured bacterium. RNAcentral's name for it is "partial 16S ribosomal RNA". It matches the Rfam family "Bacterial small subunit ribosomal RNA", at positions 338 to 795 of the family's 1533-position model. The record is from RNAcentral.
CCUACGGGAGGCAGCAGUGAGGAAUAUUGGUCAAUGGACGAGAGUCUGAACCAGCCAAGUAGCGUGAAGGAUGACUGCCCUAGGGGUUGUAAACUUCUUUUAUAUGGGAAUAAAAUGUUCCACGUGUGGGAUUUUGUAUGUACCAUAUGAAUAAGGAUCGGCUAACUCCGUGCCAGCAGCCGCGGUAAUAAGGAGGAUCCGAGCGUUAUCCGGAUUUAUUGGGUUUAAAGGGAGCGUAGGUGGAUUGUUAAGUCAGUUGUGAAAGUUUGCGGCUCAACCGUAACAUUGCAGUUGAAACUGGCAGUCUUGAGUACAGUAGAGGUGGGCGGAAUUCGUGGUGUAGCGGUGAAAUGCUUAGAUAUCACGAAGAACUCCGAUUGCGAAGGCAGUUCACUGGACUGCAACUGACACUGAGGCUCGAAAGUGUGGGUAUCAAACAGGAUUAGAUACCCUUGUAGUC